RNAcentral lists this ribosomal RNA (322 nucleotides) under uncultured eukaryote. RNAcentral describes it as "partial 18S ribosomal RNA". It matches the Rfam family "Eukaryotic small subunit ribosomal RNA", at positions 1470 to 1796 of the family's 1831-position model. The record is from RNAcentral.
CCCUUAGAUGUUCUGGGCCGCACGCGUGCUACACUGAGUAAUUCAAUGGGUAUGGGAACGCUAGAGCAUUACCUAAUCUUGAAAUUUGCUCGUGAUGGGGAUCGACGGUUGCAAUUUUCCGUCGUGAACGAGGAAUACCUUGUAGGCGCAUGUCAUCAUCAUGCGCCGAAUACGUCCCUGCCCUUUGUACACACCGCCCGUCGCUCCUACCGAUUGAGUGAUCCGGUGAGGCUCUGGGACCUGGACGGAAAGAGCGUUUCGCUUGUUCUGUUUGGGAAACUUGGUCGAACCUUAUCAUUUAGAGGAAGGAGAAGUCGUAACA